RNAcentral lists this long non-coding RNA (1248 nucleotides) under Anser brachyrhynchus (Pink-footed goose). RNAcentral describes it as "lncRNA (ENSABRG00000007173.1)". Lineage: Eukaryota; Metazoa; Chordata; Aves; Anseriformes; Anatidae. The record is from RNAcentral.
GGAAAUCCUAUCCUCUCGGGCCACCGGGAGAGCGGCCGCCUCCGCGGGACGGCCGGGAGGGGCAGUGGGACGCGGCGGCAUCGGAGCGGGGCACGCGGAUCAAUUCCUCCCGGCUCAGGAGCGGUGCGGAUGUCCUGGGGGCGCUGUCCAAAGGCCCAGAUGCUGACAUUUCCCUGCGCACCGCAACAGACGGCAGUGCCAUGGUGAGGCCACAUCCAAAUCCCGAAACCCUCCAACAGACAGAGAACCGCGGCUGAAUGAAGCCGCACUGGAGGGUGGGCCAGCAAGGACGGAAGAAGACGCCCCACGCGUGCCUGGGGAACAACCUCGUUUCAUCUCCGGCCUCUUUACCGAGCAGCCGGCCCCCGGCACCGACUCUCCCUCUCAGGACGAGCUGCGGACACGGACGGGAAGCGGGAGCGGCCCUGCCUUGCACACGGCGGCACCUCCGGGAACCUCCCGGCAGGGUGCCCACCAGCCAGAGGGCCGGAACCCGGUGCCGAGGGGGAGCUCGGCGAGACGCAGCCGCCGGCAGGGGAACCCCUGCGGGCAUCGCCCCCGCCGCCCGCGCCACCGCCGGGACGGGGGCGGCUUUGACCCGCGCACAGAACCGAAGGCAGGCCGGGGGCUGCCGGGGCCGGCCCAGCGGCGCUCCGCGGCCCCCGCAGCCCGGCGGGGCCCGGCCCUGGCGCUCCCCGGCAGCGCGGGGCCGUUCCCCCGGCUCUCGGCACGCAAACCCCGCGGCUGGCGGAGCCCUCCCGGGGGCACAGCGGCGCUGGGGGGGGGCCGCCGCGAGGACGGCAGGGCCCGGAGCCUCCCGGGCCCGGGGCUGCGGCUCGGCGAGGCCGGCACCGGGCGGCCUGCCCCAGGAAGGAAGGAGGGAGGGAGGGAGGGAGGGAGGGAGGGAGGGAGAGGCCGGCCCCGGCCCGCGCCGCCCGCCCCGGUCCUGGUCCCCCGGAGCCCCCCGGGGCCUCACCUGGGUCGCCGCGCGCCGCUCCCGCCCGUGCCGCGUGCAGCUCCCCGCCCUGCCCCCACCGCCCCGCCCGGCGCCGCCAAUCGGCGCCCGGCGCCGCCGGCACGGCCGGCCAAUGAGCGAGCGGAACGCGUCCCCGCCCAGCGCCGAGCCGGCCGCCGGGACCCGCCCUUCUGCUCGCCCGCGAGCCUAUCCCGUGACGGGGCGCGGCGCGCGGAGAGGGGCGGGGCGCGGCGCGCGGCGCCCAAUGAGAAAUCACAGCGCGUCCCGCCGCG